GGCUGGAAGGAGCUGGGCAUCCGGCCUGAGGCGCAGCGGUCGCGUUAGUUCGGCCCAAUGGCGGCACCGCUGCUUCACACGUUGUUUGUCGGGAGAUGCGGCCGCUUCGUCCUCUGCAGUCAAGACGCUGGGCGCGUCGAGGACUGGCUUCUACUUGAAUGAAGACAAAAAUCUAGGCCGGGCGCGGUUGCUCACGCCUGUAAUCCCAGCACUUUGGGAGGCCGAGGUGGGCGGAUCACCUGAAGUCAGGAGUUCGAGACCAGCCUGGCCAACAUGCGAAACCUCGUCUCUACUGAAAAUAUAAAAAUUAGCCAGGCGUGGUGGCAGGUGCCUGUAAUCCCAGCUACUCAGGAGGCUGAGGCAGGAGAAUUGCUUGAACCCGGAGAUGGAGGUUGCAGUUAAGCUGAGAUCACACCACUGCACUCCAGCCUGGGCAGCAGAGCAAGACUCCAUCUCAAAAAAAAAAAAAAAUCCAGCCACGUAGAGAUUUGGGAAAAGAGUAUUUCCAAUAGAGUGAACAGAUUUCAAAUAUGCGUGCAUUAGAGAAUGAUUUUUUCAAUUCUCCCCCAAGAAAAACUGUUCGGUUUGGUGGAACUGUGACAGAAGUCUUGCUGAAGUACAAAAAGGGUGAAACAAAUGACUUUGAGUUGUUGAAGAACCAGCUGUUAGAUCCAGACAUAAAGGAUGACCAGAUCAUCAACUGGCUGCUAGAAUUCCGUUCUUCUGUCAUGUACUUGACAAAAGACUUUGAGCAACUUAUCAGUAUUAUAUUGAGAUUGCCUUGGUUGAAUAGAAGUCAAACAGUAGUGGAAGAGUAUUUGGCUUUUCUUGGUAAUCUUGUAUCAGCAUAGACUGUUUUCCUCAGACCGUGUCUCAGCAUGAUUGCUUCCCAUUUUGUGCCUCCCUGAGUGAUCAUUAAGGAAGGCGAUGUAGAUGUUUCAGAUUCUGAUGAUGAAGAUGAUAGGCACCGUGGUUUCUCAUGCCAAUACUGGUGGAAAAAUUUCCAUUUGUUCGAAAAUCAGAGAGAACACUGGAAUGUUACGUUCAUAACUUACUAAGGAUUAGUGUAUAUUUUCCAACCUUGAGGCAUGAAAUUCUGGAGCUUAUUAUUGAAAAACUACUCAAGCUGGAUGUGAAUGCAUCCCGGCAGGGUAUUGAAGAUGCUGAAGAAACAGCAAAUCAAACUUGUGGUGGGACAGAUUCCACGGAAGGAUUGUUUAAUAUGGGAUUCGCAGAGGCAUUUUUGGAACAUCUUUGGAAAAACUUGCAGGAUCCAAGUAAUCCUGCCAUCAUCAGGCAGGCUGCUGGAAAUUAUAUUGGAAGCUUUUUGGCAAGAGCUAAAUUUAUUUCUCUUAUUACUGUAAAACCAUGCCUAGAUCUUUUGGUUAACUGGCUGCACAUAUACCUUAAUAACCAGGAUUCGGGAACAAAGGCAUUCUGCGAUGUUGCUCUCCAUGGACCAUUUUACUCAGCCUGCCAAGCUGUGUUCUACACCUUUGUUUUUAGACACAAGCAGCUUUUGAGCGGAAACCUGAAAGAAGGUUUGCAGUAUCCUCAGAGUCUGAAUUUUGAGCGGAUAGUGAUGAGCCAGCUAAAUCCCCUGAAGAUUUGCCUGCCCUCAGUGGUUAACUUUUUUGCUGCAAUCACAAAGAUGAAGACUUGUGGAUAUGGAUGGUGGUGAUGGUUGCACAACAAUAUCAAUUUAUUUUAUACCACUGAACCGUGCACUUCAAAAUGGUUAAGAUGGUAAGUUUUAUGUUGUGUAUUUUACCAUAAUAAAAAAAAUUGUAGAGGGAAAAACAGUCUGCCUCCACUUUUGAUAUGGGACUGCUAACAUCUUCCACCCUCCCUCUCCCCCUCUGCCCCACAUCUGGGCAAGCUAAGAAAGCCUGCUGCUCUCUCCUCUGGCACCAGCUGGAAAUUCAUACCCAACAAGCCCUAGCCCUCCCACCAGACCCACAUUUCAUCCCCAUCCCCAUCGCAUCCCCAUCCCCAUCCCCAUCCCUAACCACCAUAAAUGCUAAGGGAGUUUCCUUGCCUGGUUUUCUGAAACCAUUUUUGGACCUGCUUGGGAAUCUGCCCUGCUCUCUCAGAAAGCUUCAUUAUAUGAGCAAUAAACCUUUUCCUACCCUC
Homo sapiens (human) is the source of this 2133-nucleotide long non-coding RNA. NCBI's taxonomy places the organism in Eukaryota, Metazoa, Chordata, Mammalia, Primates, Hominidae. The record is from Ensembl.